CUGAGGCUAAUACCCCAUAGGUGUGGAGGCCUGGAACGGUUCCACGCUGAAAUGUCAGCGCGUCCAUGUUGCGCGCGAGCGCCAGAGGAUGGGGCUGCGGCCGAUCAGGCAGUUGGUGAGGUAAUGGCUCACCAAACCUUUGACCGGUACGGGCCGUGAGAGCGGUAGCCCGGAGGUGGGCACUGAGACAAGGGCCCAGGCCCUACGGGGCGCAGCAGGCGCGAAAACUCCACAAUGCACGCAAGUGCGAUGGGGUCACCUCGAGUGCCGUCUGAAGAAGGCGGCUUUUCCACAGUGUAGCGAGCUGUGGGAAUAAGAGGGGGGCAAGACUGGUGUCAGCCGCCGCGGUAACACCAGCCCCUCGAGUGGUGGGGACGUUUAUUUGGCCUAAAGCGUCCGUAGCCGGCUCGGUAAGUCCCUCGUUAAAUCUAGCGUCCCAAGCGCUGGACUGCGAGGGAUACUGUCGAGCUUGAGGGGGGGAGAGGUCAGCGGUAUUUCCGGGGUAGGGGCGAAAUCCUUUGAUCCCGGGAGGACCACCAGUGGCGAAGGCUGCUGACUAGAACACGCCUGACGGUGAGGGACGAAAGCUGGGGGAGCGAAUCGGAUUAGAUACCCGAGUAGUCCCAGCUGUAAACGAUGCAGGCUAGGUGGUUGGAGCGGCCAUGCGCCGCUCCAGUGCCGCAGGGAAGCCCUUAAGCCUGCCGCCUGGGGAGUACGGCCGCAAGGCUGAAACUUAAAGGAAUUGGCGGGGGAGUACCACCAGGCGUGAAGCCUGCGGUUUAAUU
This 785-nucleotide ribosomal RNA is filed under the name uncultured bacterium. Its description in RNAcentral is "bacterial SSU rRNA". It matches the Rfam family "Archaeal small subunit ribosomal RNA", at positions 140 to 907 of the family's 1478-position model. The record is from RNAcentral.